AGAGUUUGAUCCUGGCUCAGGAUGAACGCUAGCGGGAGGCUUAACACAUGCAAGUCGAGGGGCAGCACGGGUAGCAAUACCUGGUGGCGACCGGCAGACGGGUGAGUAACGCGUAUGUAACCUACCCUGUACAGGGGGAUAACCCGGAGAAAUUCGGACUAAUAUCCCAUAGAAAUAUUGGAAGGCAUCUUUUGAUAUUUAAAGUUCCGGCGGUACGGGAUGGGCAUGCGUAACAUUAGCUAGUUGGUAAGGUAACGGCUUACCAAGGCUUUGAUGUUUAGGGGUCCUGAGAGGGUGAUCCCCCACACUGGUACUGGGACACGGACCAGACUCCUACGGGAGGCAGCAGUGAGGAAUAUUGGUCAAUGGGCGCAAGCCUGAACCAGCCAUCCCGCGUGCAGGAAGACGGCCCUAUGGGUUGUAAACUGCUUUUCCAGGGGGAGAAACUUGCGCACGUGUUGCGCAAUUGACGGUACCCUGGGAAUAAGCAUCGGCUAACUCCGUGCCAGCAGCCGCGGUAAUACGGAGGAUGCGAGCGUUAUCCGGAUUCAUUGGGUUUAAAGGGUGCGUAGGCGGACUAUUAAGUCAGUGGUGAAAUCCUGCAGUUUAACUGCAGAACUGCCAUUGAUACUGAUAGCCUUGAGUUUGGUUAAGGUAGGCGGAAUGUGUAAUGUAGCGGUGAGAUGCUUAGAUAUUACACAGAACACCAAUUGCGUAGGCAGCUUACUGAGCCGACACUGACGCUGAGGCACGAAAGCGUGGGGAUCGAACAGGAUUAGAUACCCUGGUAG
This 791-nucleotide ribosomal RNA is filed under the name uncultured bacterium. RNAcentral's name for it is "bacterial SSU rRNA". It matches the Rfam family "Bacterial small subunit ribosomal RNA", at positions 8 to 793 of the family's 1533-position model. The record is from RNAcentral.